GAUGAACGCUCGCGGGAGGCCUAACACAUGCAAGCCGAGCGGUAGAGUUUCUUCGGAAACUUGAGAGCGGCGCACGGGUGCGUAACACGUGUGCAACCUACCUUUAUCUGGGGGAUAGCCUUUCGAAAGGAAGAUUAAUACCCCAUAAUAUAAUGAUUGGCAUCAAUUAUUAUUGAAAACUCCGGUGGAUAGAGAUGGGCACGCGCAAGAUUAGAUAGUUGGUGAGGUAACGGCUCACCAAGUCAAUGAUCUUUAGGGGUCCUGAGAGGGAGAUCCCCCACACUGGUACUGAGACACGGACCAGACUCCUACGGGAGGCAGCAGUGGGGAAUAUUGGACAAUGGGUGAGAGCCUGAUCCAGCCAUCCCGCGUGAAGGAUGACGGUCCUAUGGAUUGUAAACUUCUUUUGUACAGGGAUAAACCUACCCUCGUGAGGGUAGCUGAAGGUACUGUACGAAUAAGCACCGGCUAACUCCGUG
This 479-nucleotide ribosomal RNA is filed under the name uncultured bacterium. RNAcentral describes it as "partial 16S ribosomal RNA". It matches the Rfam family "Bacterial small subunit ribosomal RNA", at positions 28 to 507 of the family's 1533-position model. The record is from RNAcentral.